RNAcentral lists this unclassified non-coding RNA (401 nucleotides) under Hevea brasiliensis (rubber tree). The record is from RNAcentral. Lineage: Eukaryota; Viridiplantae; Streptophyta; Magnoliopsida; Malpighiales; Euphorbiaceae.
CCGAGUCAUCCAAACAGUACGAGACAAAUAAGGAUAGAGAAGAGGAUAGUGCUGAACCAUGUGAAGGCGAAACUGAGUUGUGGAAACCCUUAAAUCGUGUGGUUGAAGCUGCAAACAAAUCAAAGCACAGUAAGUCUGAUAUAGAGGAAGCUACUGUCCAAAUGCAGCUGCCUGGUCCUGCAGAGAAUGAAGCUCAAGUGCUUAAAUCCAUUGUUAAGGAGCAUGGUAAAAAAUCAGAAGUUAAUGGUGAUGAAAAUAACUCAUCUCUGUCACCAGAAGACUCAAUUAAGACUAGAAAGUUGCAAGGCAUACGGCAACAAAGAGCAGUUGUCUCCAAGGGCUUGAAUAUUAUUCCAGCACAAACUAUUGUUGAUGCAAGCAGUAAAUGCGAUGGAAGAUUU